GCAUCCUCAGGUUCUAAAGAUGGAUUGGGGUUGUCUGUGAAGGCUUCAAGGAGAAGAUGGGAUUUGUGAAUAGGAAGUGGAUUGGAGUUGUUAUAUGGCCUGCAUUUGGAUUUCAUCAACUCCCAAUAUGAUACAUAAGGAAACGGCAAGUAAGAUGAUGUGGAGAAAAAAAUAACUAUACUUGAUCAAACACAUAGAGAAGAAAUUUGUGCUGGAGGAUGGCAUAGAUUUUGAACCAGUCAAUGAUCAGUUUUCAAGACAAAAACAUCUCAUGAAUAGUAUUAUGACUGAAAAAAAUGAUAAAAGAAAAAAGUCUGGGAUUUUCACAGAUGAGGAAGAUAAAACCUUAAGAAAGCAUUAAACAAGCACACGAAGCUAGUAAGUGACAAGAGCCAUCUGUGUCCGGUGGAAAGAUAUCAAGAUGACUGGAGAUGGCCCUGGGUGCAGGGGGAGACUGGCCUUUUUAAGUCCAGGUCUUAAUUUGACUUAGGCAACUAUCUAUUCAGUGAUUAA
Antechinus flavipes (yellow-footed antechinus) is the source of this 513-nucleotide long non-coding RNA. RefSeq lists it as uncharacterized. NCBI's taxonomy places the organism in Eukaryota, Metazoa, Chordata, Mammalia, Dasyuromorphia, Dasyuridae. The transcript has 4 exons. The record is from RefSeq and is a predicted model, not a curated record.